This 328-nucleotide long non-coding RNA is filed under the name Medicago truncatula (barrel medic). RNAcentral describes it as "long non-coding RNA (MTRU_LNC005594)". The record is from RNAcentral. Lineage: Eukaryota; Viridiplantae; Streptophyta; Magnoliopsida; Fabales; Fabaceae.
CAAAACAAAGUGUAUGGAACAAUUAAAUACAAGCCAAAAGUAGAAAACAACGGCGAGAAGAACAAAAAGAAGAGAAGAACACAAAAGAAUUUGUUGACCCAGUUCGGUCCAAAUUGACCUAGUCUGGGGGAGAGAGCAGCCCUCCGAUCCACUAUAUGAUGAGUAUCGUUACAAAGAGAAAUCAAUGGGUUACAAGAAUAAGUCUCCCGCCUAAUUCUACCCAAAGUCUCAGCCUCUUCCCGUAACCAAGAGACUCAAUCCUAAUAGUGUUUCCCAAGGUGAAUCAACCCACAAACCCUAGUGUUUGUUCCGAAGAGACAAACUCUAU